GUCCUGUUCUUUUGAUGGGAUCUGAGCAGAUGUUGCCUCUCUCUGUGAACCUUUCUUUGAGUAACUUCCAAAAGAAUGCACCUUUUUGCACUUUGGGAAAAUCUGAACUCUCUGAGGGGAAAAAGGAGGGAGAUUGAACAAGUUGCCAAUGUGAAGUAUUGGAAGAGUGUUGUCUGAAAGUUUCUGGGACAGAGGGCUGUUUUAUUAUCUCGUUCUUUGAUUUUAAUAAGAAGUGGAGACGACCCUCAAAACAUUGUGAGUAAGGACGAGGAUUUCUCCUCCUGUCCAGGGCCUGUCAUGGAUGAGGAGACUCAGCACAGCCUUGAAUGCAUCCAGGCUAAUCAGAUUUUUCCCAGGAAGCAGCUGAUCCGAGAGGAUGAGAACCUCCAGGUCCCGUUCAUUGAGCUUCACGGUGAGAGUACAGAGUACGUCGGACGAGCGGAGGAUGCCAUCAUUGCGCUUUCGAACUACAGGCUUCACAUCAAAUUCAAGGAGUCUGUUGUGAACGU
This is a non-coding RNA of Tauraco erythrolophus (red-crested turaco), 509 nucleotides long. The record is from RefSeq and is a predicted model, not a curated record. NCBI's taxonomy places the organism in Eukaryota, Metazoa, Chordata, Aves, Musophagiformes, Musophagidae.